Molecule: ribosomal RNA, 493 nt
Filed under: uncultured Chloroflexota bacterium
Lineage: Bacteria; Bacillati; Chloroflexota
Description: bacterial SSU rRNA
Rfam family: Bacterial small subunit ribosomal RNA
Source: RNAcentral
GAGUUUGAUCCUGGCUCAGGAUAACGCUGGCGGCGUGCUUAAUACAUGCAAGUCGAACGGAGACAUUAUAGCAAUAUGAUGCUUAGUGGCGAACGGGUGAGUAACGCGUUGGUGACCUGCCCCGAAGUGGGGGAUAACAGUCGAAAGGGCUGCUAAUACCCCAUGUUGUCAUGAGGGUUAGAGGCCUUGUGACUAAAGGGUAAUUCGCUUCGGGAGGGGCCUGCGUCCCAUCAGCUAGUUGGUAGGGUAAUGGCCUACAAGGCUACGACGGGUAGGGGGCCUGAGAGGGUGACCCCCCACACUGGCACUGAAACACGGCCAGACACCUACGGGUGGCAGCAGUAGGGAAUAUUGCACAAUGGGCGAAAGCCUGAUGAGCAACGCCGCGUGCACGAUGAAGGUCUUCGGAUCGUAAAGUGCUUUUCGGGGAGAUGAGAAGGACAGUAUCCCCGGAAUAAGGAUCGGCUAACUACGUGCCAGCAGCCGCGGUAAU